GCUCCUGUAGUCUAGUUUGGAUAGCCUAAAAACCCAAAAAAGACGCAACCCUGCGGAGGUUGUAACCCGGGUUCAAAUCCCGGCAGGAGCG
Molecule: transfer RNA, 91 nt
Filed under: Candidatus Woesearchaeota archaeon
Lineage: Archaea; Nanobdellati; Candidatus Woesearchaeota
Description: tRNA-Arg
Rfam family: tRNA
About the family: Transfer RNA (tRNA) molecules are approximately 80 nucleotides in length.
Source: RNAcentral